UUGAGUAUUGCCUGUCUUCCAUGCACGACGCCGGAUGCGCGCUCAAUUAUAUUCAUCAUCUCGGGUUUUAACCGGGGCACUAUCGGAGUAGUUGAUUGCUACCAGAGGGAUGACGAAGCUGAGUCGUGGAAUCUAGAAAAGGAAUGGAAUUAUUGAACAAUGCCAAGUACAUCCAGUCCCACCACACCGCAAGAAUAUACAUUUCUGGCGUGGAUAGUGGCCAUGAUCAUCCAAAAGGCGCGAGGCAUGGGCCGCGGCAGUCUUGUCCUCCUAUCCUCGAUCGAUCGAUGUCGAUGGAUGCAGCGCAGCGAGGCGAUGGAGCCAUUAUAUUGCCUCCAAUCUUGCUAUUGGGCAGGGAAAACAUAAUCAUGGCCGCCAAAUAGCCAUUUUGCAGGAAAGUUAGAAAAUCCAUCGCGCCCGGGCAGCUGAUGUGGGGUUUCUCCCCUUCCUUUCCUCCUUGCACAGCAACAGCUGCGCCCAGUGGCAGCCAUGGCUAGAACCCAUUUCCUGUUAUAAUAAAAGAAAAAGGAGGGUAAAAAAUCGUUCACGGUCGAGUCUCCCACCAGAUCGGCCAUCUUUUCAAAGGAUCAUCAUCGCCAUUGAUCGAUCGUUAUCGUGUCUUGUCAUUCGAGCCGCAGGAAAAGCAUGGCCAAAUUCGAGGAUAAAAUAAAAUCGGAUGACGCAAGAGAUGAUCACGUACUCCUCCUCCACGUAGAUUGACGACGGAUCAAGCAAGCUCCGGCCGCCCCGGCGGCAAGAAUCUGCUAAACGUGCAUGCCGCACGCGCGCCUCUCGUCGAGCUGCACGCCUACUAGUUAUCUGCUGCUAAUCCCUUCCUGGGCGACGCAGCUUUCAGAUAAGCUUCCAUCUCCGGGUACGGCCAAGAGACCACCAGAGGGCUAAAAAAGGGAUAAGAAAAAGGAAAAGGCGUGCUAAUCAUAAGCUUUGUGGUGCCGCCCCGGCGAUCUAUAUGUGAUGACGAAUACGAUAGCAAGGCGGGACCUGUGGCGCACCGCAGGUGCUCCGGGGUCCCGGCCGCCGGCGGCUGGGCCACGUCCGGUCGCGCUAGUAGCAGUAAAUGAUUGCACCCCACUUCCAAUUCCAACAGGAGGAUAGGACAGGAGGGUCCACGAGAGCACAGGGCUCUUGCCG
Molecule: long non-coding RNA, 1152 nt
Filed under: Setaria italica (foxtail millet)
Lineage: Eukaryota; Viridiplantae; Streptophyta; Magnoliopsida; Poales; Poaceae
Description: long non-coding RNA (SITA_LNC006634)
Source: RNAcentral